GCCACCGCUUCACCUUCCCCCUCCACCCUCCCGCCCCCCGCUCCCGUCCUGGGAAGCCCUGGAAGUGCCAACCCCAAGAAAGCCCCUGGUGCCACCUUGACCUUGGUGCCUCUCAUAGGUUUCUGGGCGUUUUUAAUCGGCCUCUGAGAUUUACCGUCUAGCCUUUCUUACCGCCGCUGCUUAGCCUCCUUCCUCCUCGGGAAGAAGGGGAAAAGGAUGCCCACGGUCCCAGGAAGCCUCCUGGGGACCUAGGUGUGUUCUGCUGCCCAGGCUAUCCUAUCGGAGCUGCUGUGCUAUGGUCUGAACUGUGGCCCCUCCCCAAUCCAUGUUAAAGCCCUAACCCCCCCCCAUGUGAUGGUAUUUGGAGAUAAUAGAUUUCUAUGAGGUCAGAGGGUAGUUCCCUUGGGACCUUAUAAAAACAAAAAAAGACACCAGAGAGCUUGCUGUCUGUUCCUCCCCCCGCCUCUCCUCCCUUCAACUCCCCUCUCCCCCACCACCAUGUGAAGACACAGUGAGCAGAUGGCAGUCUGUACAGGCCAGAAGGAAAGCUCUCCAUGGAAGCCAACCAUGCUGGCACCUUUAUCUUGGACUUCUAGUCUCUAGAACUGUGAGAAAAUAAAUUUCUGUGUAAGCAACCCACUCAGUGAUAUUUUGUUAUGGCAACCCAAGCUGACUAAGACAGAUUUUGGUACCAGAACCGGGGUGCUAUUGUAACAAAUGCCGAAACAUGUGGAAGCGGCUUUAUAUCUGGGUAAUGGGAGGAGGAUAGAAGAGACUUGGGGUGCCUGCUUGAAAUGUAGACCCUAAGGGCGGUUCUGGUGAGAUGUGUGACAGAAAUGAGGAACAAACAUGUCAUUGGAAACUGCAGGAAAGGAAAUCCUUGUUAAAAUGGCAAAGAACUUGGCUGAACUGUGUUCUAGUGUUGUGUGGAAGGAAGAAUUGUGAACAAUGAGAUUAGAUACCAGCUGAGGAGAUUUCUAAGCAAAGUGUUCAUGGAGCAGCUUGGUUCCUCUUGACUGCAAAAGGAGAGAGAGGAAUUGAAGAAGGAAUUGUUAAGAAAAAGGAACCAGUGUAAAACUUCAGACAAUAAAAAAAUAGAAAAUAAUAAAAGGUAAAUGAUUCAGGGAAAAGAAAAAGGAACCAGAAUUUGAAGACUUGAAAAUUCCCAGCCUAUCCGCAUUGCAAAAUAUAAGAAAGCUUCUGAGAAGAACAGGGUGUAGCUGAACAACCACUUGAUUACAAAUUAGUGGGAUUAUCUGAGCAGAAACACUGCCACUUUGGACUGAAGGAGCUAGAGAUGGUGCAAAAUGAAGAAAGGUUGUUGGACUUCCUGGAUUUGACAGGAUGGGAUGAUGGAGCUAUGUGGCUGUAAACUUGCAUUAUUCUCCAGAAAGAGGGAGAAAUGAUCCCAAAGGCGAUUCAGGGGUCAUCAGGGUGACUGCCUCUGUUUCAACAAGCCUUAGGCAUCUGCUGGGACCCCUGGGAGCGGGACUCCGCAAAGCCAAAGCAGUGGGGCCAUCCCCAGAGUCACGGGGGUGAUGCUGCCACCCCAUUGGGUCUGAAAGAUGGGGAUGUUGAGCCAAAAAGGAUUAUUUUUGAGCCUUAAGAUCUAAAGGAAUUUGUAUUGCUGGGUUUUAGACUUCCUUGUGUCCCAUCACCCAGUUCUUUAUUCCAGUUUCUCCCUUUUGUAAUGGGAAUGUCUAUCCAAAUGCCUGCCCACCCUUGUAUUUUGAAAGCACAUAGCUUAUCUGGUUUCACAGGUUCACAUCCAGAGAGGGAUUUUGCCUCAAGAUGAAUUAUAGCUUGAGUCUUACCAUAUCUGGUGUAGAUAUUUAGAUUGAGACU
Long non-coding RNA from Myotis myotis, 1845 nucleotides. RefSeq lists it as uncharacterized. Lineage: Eukaryota; Metazoa; Chordata; Mammalia; Chiroptera; Vespertilionidae. The record is from RefSeq and is a predicted model, not a curated record. The transcript has 2 exons.